Non-coding RNA from Cinara cedri, 291 nucleotides. NCBI's taxonomy places the organism in Eukaryota, Metazoa, Arthropoda, Insecta, Hemiptera, Aphididae. The record is from the annotation of a GenBank genome assembly.
CAUACACUUGAAACCCUUUAGUAUUUGUGAUUUUAUUGCAACUUUUAAAUAAAUUUCACAAUAAAAUAAUGUUGCAUAUACCCGAAAUCUUAUUCCAAUCAAAAUCUUAAUGAGAAAAACUGUUAAAUUUUUGUUGAUUUCUGUGUUAUCUUGGCAACAAGAGAUAAAAAUGGGGACUGUUCACAAUAGUAUCUUGUUAGAAAUGGUUUAUCGUUGCGUACAGAUAUAAAAGUUAGAUUACUUUAUGUACCAUCCCUUUAAAAUUUCCUCGUAAACAAUGGUACACUUAUC